Molecule: ribosomal RNA, 554 nt
Filed under: Salmonella enterica subsp. enterica serovar Hadar
Lineage: Bacteria; Pseudomonadati; Pseudomonadota; Gammaproteobacteria; Enterobacterales; Enterobacteriaceae
Description: bacterial SSU rRNA
Rfam family: Bacterial small subunit ribosomal RNA
Source: RNAcentral
GAAAGUUUUUCGGUGUAGGAUGAGACUAUAUAGUAUCAGCUAGUUGGUAAGGUAAUGGCUUACCAAGGCUAUGACGCUUAACUGGUCUGAGAGGAUGAUCAGUCACACUGGAACUGAGACACGGUCCAGACUCCUACGGGAGGCAGCAGUAGGGAAUAUUGCGCAAUGGGGGAAACCCUGACGCAGCAACGCCGCGUGGAGGAUGACACUUUUCGGAGCGUAAACUCCUUUUCUUAGGGAAGAAUUCUGACGGUACCUAAGGAAUAAGCACCGGCUAACUCCGUGCCAGCAGCCGCGGUAAUACGGAGGGUGCAAGCGUUACUCGGAAUCACUGGGCGUAAAGGGCGCGUAGGCGGAUUAUCAAGUCUCUUGUGAAAUCUAAUGGCUUAACCAUUAAACUGCUUGGGAAACUGAUAGUCUAGAGUGAGGGAGAGGCAGAUGGAAUUGGUGGUGUAGGGGUAAAAUCCGUAGAUAUCACCAAGAAUACCCAUUGCGAAGGCGAUCUGCUGGAACUCAACUGACGCUAAGGCGCGAAAGCGUGGGGAGCAAACAGG